AACCAAUCUUUCUCUUGGUUGAUCAGAAACUAUGCAUUCAGGGUGGAAAGGUUUGGCUACCUGCAGUGUUCAGUUCAUUUGGAUGUAAAGAUUCAUUUUCAAAACGUUUUCAUUUUUCCCUGCUCAUUAUUCAGAUGAUUAUUUUGGGUUGUAUGUCUGUACCUUCUGAGAAGAACUAUAAAACAAUGGUCUUGUAUGACUCCUUGUAAAAGAUUCAGGAUAUGGUAUUUCCAAUUCAAUUUAAGUUAACAAAGAUUCUUCGUCAGACCCAUGGGCAUCUACAGGACAUUUUCUUCCUUGGAAGAGGCAGGGAAGAUUAUAUAGCAGAGCUUAUUUAAAGAUAAAAAAAACUCCAUAGUGAUAUCUGACUAGUUUUUCCAAUAUAGCAUGUAUUUCUAUAGCACAUUUUCCUCACAUGUUCAGUAAGGAUAUAAAUCUCUUACUACAUUCAUGCAAGAACAAAGGCUUUCAAAAGUGUUUUUCUGCUGGGUUAAGAUUACAAGAGUUUCUGCAUAUAUUUUUUCAAUGACUUUUACUAUUUCUAUACUCUGAAAAUAUUUGUUUGUAAAAAAAAAACAGCGCUGGGCUAUUGUACAGAGCUGGCAUAACUCAUGCUCUUACAACCAGCCCCAGACAUCUGAUUAUUAUAUCAACAAUGUACUUUACUUCAUCCUUAGAAGAGUACAUUUUUCAAAUGUUUACCUCCCUCCCACAUAGAUUUUAAACAAUACAUGAUUUAGAAUUGCCACACAUUUUUGUUUUUGCAGUUACCUUUUGUUUGGAAGUAUAUACACAGGUGUCCAACCACAACCACACUACAUUCCAAAUUAUCUCUUUUUUUAAAAAAAGAUUAACUAAUCUCUUCAAGUAUUACUCCCCACCCCAUUGGAGGUAAAAAGUUUAUUUUCAAUUUAGUGAGCAUGUCAAUUAUUAGCAUUUAAAAUCAUGUUUGUGCUCAAAAUACUGAACAGGAGUGAGCUGAUUUCUUAAAAAUGAAGCCACACGAUAGGAAAGUGCUAAUGUGAUAUCGUACUAAGCUUAUUUCCUUAGAUGCAUGGAGAAAAGUCUACUUCCUCAUGUGUAUAUUCACCCCUUGCAUCUGAGAAAGUAGACCUAGUCUAUGAAAACGUAUCCUUCCCAAUUUCAUUCUCUCAGUUUAAUCGGUAAAGUGCCAUAAGAUCUCUUUCCACCACGCAUGCAAAUGAAAAUUUAAAUAUGUAUGUCUCCAUUGGGUCAAGGCCCCAGGGGCUAUUGCAUUCCAUCCCAAAACUUCCUCACAAACAACUACCAAGGCACAGGAAGAGCUGUUGCACAUUCUCAACAGUAGGAAGGAUCAGAAGGAGAAGAUGAUUCAGAUCAUGAAGAUAUGAAAGCUCUGUACUUGUAAGGAAAGGAAAGGUGUACCUCAGUGAGCUAAUUCCAGCUGCUGCUUAAUACUGCCUUAUGUCUCCUCCUCCUCCUGAGGAGUACAGCCCUUCUUGGAGCUUGGCAGCUACUGGGAAGAAGGAGAAGGAAGUGGAACUAUGUAGGUGAAGCUACAUUGUGAUGUAGGAUAUUGUUUUUGGUGUAGAACCAACUUAAUGCUUUAUGUCUUCAGGAUCUUCUAGUUUGAUUCUGAGGGAGACUAACAAAGUGAAGCAAGUGAUGGGGAUCAGUAUAUACAAAUUGCAUGUACAUGCACAUACACAUUUAAACUGUUUUGGCUGAAGUGAAGGACUAUGGGAGAUAGGCAAUAGGGAAAUAACUGAGUGUCAGUUAUAUGUUACUUUAUCCACACUUCGCAAAAAUGCCUACUUCUGUUUUAAGUAGCUCUGUGGCCCUAAUCCAGAAUAUGUUUCUGAUUUGCAUUAGGUUUCUACUAGGCAUGAGCGAUCCAUGAAAAAAAUGUUUCUAAACUCGCUUGUAAAGUAGGGGGCGCUGGCGCUUCGUUUCUGAAACUACUUCUGAAAUUUGGCCCAAAAAGUUUCGAAACUUAAUAUUAGGAAUAUUCAAAAUUAAUUUGUUAAUGGCGGACGCGCAUGCGCAGUGGCCAAGAACAGCACAGGGGGGGGGGACUUUACAGGACUCUCCCACCCUCAUUUUUUGAGCUAUCUUCUUCAAACUUGGUACAGUGGUAGAACCCAUUUAACACUGCUAGCUCACCAAAAUUCAGAACAUUUCCCUUAUCCUCUGAUUUUGGCAAAUUUUCAUAGCUUUUAUAAUAAACCAUUUUUUAAUAAUUGCAGAAAUCUGCUCCUGGUUUGAAAGUCUUAUUUCCUGUUUAAUUGGGUUGUCUUUACUUUGAAAGUCAUUGUUAUACUUCAGAAACUUUGUUUUUUUGGCUGAAACUUUGUUAAAUUGGUGGACAGUGUCCCAGGAAACCAUAAUGUGCUCCAUGCCCCCUGCGCAAAGACAAAGUUCAGGCAGUGUCAUAAAUUUUGCCAUGUUUCUAUGACAGAACCAAUUAGGAACAUUUAUCACCCAGGAACAGAAAUCAUAGUACACCAUCAAAUCAUUCCUGACAGAUGGCCAUCAGCCUCUGAAUAAGGAAAUCAGUUUGUGGUUUGCAAGUGCUAUUUCCUGUGUCAUUGGCUUUUCUGGGGCUGAGAGUGUGUGACUUGCCCAAGUGGGUGGCUGAGUGGGGAAUCAAGCCACAAUCGGAGCACAACAGUCAAACCUCUCCCUCCCUCUUUCUCUCUCUCUCCCUCCCUCUUUCUCUCUCUCUCUAAAUUUCUCAUACCUUCCAAGAAUUCACAUACCUUAUGAAAGUUUGGUCAAAAUGGUCAGAGGAGGGCAACUAAAAUGAUCUAGGGUCUGGCGAACAAGCCCUAUGAGGAGCGGCUUAAAGAACUGGGCAUGUUUAUUUAUUUAUUUAUUUCAAUUAUUUAUACCCCGCCCUUCUCACCCAAGGGGACUCAGGGCGGCUUACAAGUGGCAGUUGAUGCCGUUAUACAAUAAACUAAAAUGAUUAAAACAGUUAAAACAGUCAUAAAAUACAAUAUACAAAGUUUAAAACAAUGCAAAGUGCUUAUGCCAUGCAGAAGAAAAGGGGGAGAGAAAGGUGACAUAAGGAAGGCCAUGUAUAAAUAUGUGAAGGGAAGUCAUUGGGAGGAAAAAAUAAGCUUGUUUUCUGUUGCCCUGGAGACUAAGACGCAAUGGAACAAUGGCUGCAAACUACAGGAAAGGAGAUUUCACCUGAACAUGAGGAGGAACUUCCUCACUGUGAGAGCUGUUCAGCAGUGGAACUCUCUGCCCCAGAGUGUGGUGGAGGCUCUUUCUUUGGAGGCUUUUAAGCAGAGGCUGGAUGGCCAUCUGUCAGGGGUGCUUUGAAUGCGAUUUCCUGCUUCUUGGCAGACUGGAUGGCCCACAAGGUCUCUUCCAACUCUAUUCUAUGAUUCUAUGAUUCUAAGUGAGGACGAAAGGGGGUAGGGAAUGUUAAGAGAAGAGAGGGCCUGGGACAUCUGGGAAUUGUAAUUUUAAAGUGGGCAUAGUACUAUUGGGGGAAACGUCUGCUUCAGCCCAAUGCUUUUAUAAAUUGGGAAAAUUCAGAGGCUUCGUUCUGCUACAUUUUUAAAGCUAUUGAGAUGAAAUUUGCCAGAAUGGAAGCAAAUAUUCAUAACUCUUUGCCUAUUAAGUUUCAUGAUGUUUGACUCAAACACUGAUUUUUUGGGGGAAUUUUCAAACAACAUUUUUUUAAAACGCUACCAGAACGAUGGCCCCGCCUCUCCGCCCCUCUUCCCUGAUUGGCUUAGCCCAAGGCUUCUGGGAAAUGGAGUUUUGUCCAGGCAAUGGUUUCUUGCUUCACUUCCACUUAAAUAAAUAAGGAAAAUCCAGAGGCUUCGUUCUGCUUAAUUUUUAAAGCUAUUGAGAUAAAAUUUGCCAGAUUGGAAGCAAAUAUUCAUAACUCUUUGCCUAUUAAGUUUCAUAAUGUUUGACCGAUCCACUGAUUUUUUGGGAAUUUUCAAACAACAUUUGUUUAAAACGCUAUCAGAACAAUGGCCCCGCCUCUCUGUCCCUCUUCCUUCCACCCUGAUUGGCUGAGAGGCAUGCCAACAUGGCUUCACCUCUCAGAGGGGCUACAACUACAUCCGAAGACAUCAGAGACAGACAAAAAAGGUGCCUUUUGAUUCAAAUUCUUAUUAGGAAGGCACUGAGCAGAUGUUUCAAAACUCGCUUCAAAAGUGCUUUCAAACCGAAUUUGAAACUAAUUUAAUGGACUAACGAAAAAUUUGCCUAACCCUAGUUUCUAUAUUGAUUUUUAUCUCUACUCCCCUCUGGUGUUAUUACAUCCCCAGGAUUUGUUGCUUCCAACAAUGCUGUUUGCAGUGUAUGUGAUGUUUGGGGGCACAUAGCAAUUGGGAAAGUGACAUGAAUUGCUUAAAUAUUAGUGAUUUUAAUGGGUCUGUGGCAGCAUAACUUUGUGCAGGAUUGCGGCAGUGUUUACUCUAAAAGUCAGAAUUCAACAUUGUCUGGUGUGUUUAUCUAAUAGUUUAUGCUCAUAACUGUGUUUUAAAAUUAUAAACACAUAGGAACAUGCCACAUGAGUGAUAUAGUUUAAACUGAGCUGAUGCCAUAAUGAAUAAACGUUUCAGUAGUUAUUCAGACGUCUGGCCAAGAACCUUUUUUGUAAAGUAUUGCUUCAAGCACUACAAUAUACUAAAAAGAAAAUGCAUGUUCCUGUUUUCAGAGGAGAUUUUCACAUUCUGGAGUUUAAGAAUUUUCAUUUCUGUUUAAUUUGAUGAUGUUUACUUCUGUUUAGUUUUACUGCCAUUAUCAUUAUUCAUUAACAGCAAGUAGAUCAUAUUCUCUUUGAUACCAGUUAAAAUGAAAUCUUGGAGGAUAUUGACAUUGAUUGAUGGACACACUUUGAGACUAUGCACUUGCAACCUGUUUAGGUUUCUUGCAUAUAAUGCCAGUGCAGCAUUGCUCAAAACAGCAGUAACUAAGAUUUCUUCUGUUUUACUGCAGGUUAUGUGAAAUGAACUUGAAACCAGAAUUUGCCUAAAUUGUGUUCACUCAUUUAAAAGAAUGGAUAUAAUAAAUACUACAUUCUUUAGGAAGUACAGUGACACUUUAUCCAUAGAUUCAAGAGUUGCCUUGAAAGAUUCCAUUUGUUUAUUCAUGGCAUAUAGUUUUCAAAUGAACUGUCAGAGUUUUAUAUUAUUUGGGUCAUUUCUUAAGUGAAAAUGAAUAAGUGUUUGCAGGAAUCAUGUCCCAUCUAUGUUUGAUCAGCAAUUAAGACACCUGCUUUAGAUUGAGGGCUAUUAAUAGAGUCUGAGUAAGUCUUGUGUUAGUGUUGUGUGUUAUAGUAGUGUUGUUAAAGUGUUGUGAUGGUGUUGUAAAGUGCAGUGUUGUAGUGUGUGCUGUGAUGGUGGCAAAGAUGUUAUUGCUGCUGAAGAGCUACUGAAGUGAAACCGAAGAGAGGUUUGAAGACGGAGAGUCCAGAGACCACAGAGGUUAAAGCUCCAAGAUAAGAAAGCUUUGUUUUGCUGCUGAUAAAAGCAAAGGACUGUGUUUUGUAUGUUUUGUUUAUAUAAAUCUUUCUUUACCAAAGGACAGUUUUGUUUUGGAGUUAUUCUCCUUGGACGAGGGUGCAACUUCCGCAGAAGGGGUUGAGAGUUUGGAACCCAAUUGGCUAGCUGCGACAUGAACCAUUUAGAAUUCAUUAAUGCAUGACUUGGUAAGAAAGAUACAGUUUUAAAAAGAAGAUUCACACUGCUAGUAAGCACAUAUUGUUGUAUUGUUGUUUCUGGAAAGACAAAAGCUCUGUGAGCACCCUGUUGUCAUCAUUGAACUUUCCUUUUCAUCUGUCAUUGUGGGUGGCUUGGGGCAUUUUAAACUAUCAAUUAAAGAUCCCUCAGGAUCAAUUCAUUAUGUGUUAAAAGAAGUUACACCUCUUGAGACAGAUUGCUGUGCUGUGUUGAGUUGGAUCACUCUGGACAUUGGUGGAAAUCAUCCAGUGACAGUGUUAUGGUUGAGCCUUAUGGCUCCGAUACUGGGAGACGUGGUCGUAAGACUCCUCGGGAGUCAGAUACUCUCGAGGAGCAAGAAAGGAAGCGGCUGCGGGACUUAUUUGCAGAACCAUCUGACGAGGAUUCCUUUGAGGGUUUUACUGAGAGAAUGGAGGAAGAGAUGGUUAGCUCAGAGGAGGAUGACAUGGAAUGGACUCGUGUGAGGGAGGAUUUGGGUGCCACUGGCAAUGAUAAUAUGGAAGGCGAUUGGGGACCUUCAGGAUUAGACCCGUGGACAAGCUGGAGGGAUGGGACGGGAUCCACAGCUGGGGAUGCUGUGGGGCGUAGUCAAAGGUGUUUCAGUUCUGAUGAGGAAAGUGAUGAGGAAACGCCUGGAAUUAGGGUAACAGCUGAUAGUGAUGAGGAGCUGUAAACUGGCAUAAAAUGGGGUUUGGAAGCAAUGGCUAAUUGCGUUGGGCAAGGUAAUCUGGACGAACGCUUGGGCUCUGUGUGGGAAAUUCCUGAAGACGGGUGUGAUUCGUUUGCUGACUACCUUGGACCUCCGUCGUCUUCUUGACGGACGCCAUCUGUUUAUUCUGGACUGACUGACUGACUGACUACGGCCUCGGACUCUCCUUCCUGUGAUUAUCGUUGGACCUGGUGAACUACAAAUGUCUGUACCUGCCUUACGACCUUCGGACCGGAUUGGAACUUCGCUGACCGCUUCUGCCCUUGAAUGCUGCGUUUGUAUCUGGAAAUUGCUUGCUGUGUGGAGGAGUAACCUCUUAGUUACUCAAACAUAGCUUUUGGCAGCAGAGAAGCAUCUGCUGCCAGUUUCUUAUAUUCCUUUGAACCUUUUGUUCACCAGCUUUUGUUUGUUUUAGUCCCAGGCUGAAGUAAGCUUUUUUGGUUUAACCUGGAUUAAACUCCGGUUUAAUCCGGUUUAUCUUUUGAACGUUUUCCUUGUGUCUUUUUACUUUUAAGGCCAAUGUUUGCCUAGCCCUUGUCUUUUACGGGAAUUUUUGGUUCUGUAACUCCAAUAAACUUUGUUAUAUCUUAUCUUGUGGCGUUCUGUCCUUGACAGACAGCCUACAUAUGUUCAUUGACUUGUAUGCUCAUCAAAAAGCAACUGCUUUAAUUAUCAGGCAUGGUCCAUAGAACACCUUUUUGUAUUCCUUUGGGUCUAAAAUUCUUCACUGCCACAAGUUUGUGAUUUAGAGACAUUGUUUUGUCAUAGAAGACUAUGAAUGGCAUUAUGGACAUGCCAAAGAUUUAUAAGCUACAAUUUAGCCUGCCUAUCCCAGUGUGGAUAAUUAAUCUUUAGUAGGCCCCAAGCUUUGUAGGAUGACUGUCUCUUUUACCUGUUACCGUAGCUCUUCUGCAGCAACAGUUAGAAUGGAAUGGAAGCAACAGUUUACUGGUGCAAUAAAAACUUUUUGUUUGUUUUAUUAAUUUGGCUGUCUGGCAGUGCUUUGUAAUAUACACCCCGCCCCAUUGGUUUCCAUAUCCUUGUUUAGCAAUAUGCUGAACAACUUAAGCCAGGAAUGUUGUUUUUUUAUUUCCCACCAGCAGUUUCUUAGAAUCUUUUGGUAGGCUUUGAUCUACCAUUUGGGAAUCAUUGUGGUAAUGUUUAAGAACGGUAUGUAAUCGGAACUUCAUGAUGUCAUCUCUUUCUGGGAAUCUGGACAUUCUACUCAACUAGAUUACAGCAAGGAUACAAGGAUGCAAAAAGCAGUCUUACAUUUCAGCAGUUGGGCUUCAGUUUACAGUCUCAAAUUACUUCAGUUAUAAAGUCUUUUGUGUGAUAGGGAGUUGUCUUUAGAGCUACAUAACUUAAAAAAUGCAUUGGUCCUUGUUUAUGAGCAUAAUUUCUGCCACAAGAGCACACUAGUACCUUGUGGACCCAAACUACAAUUUUAGUUUUUCUCUGUAAAAUACAGGAUUUGUAAGAUAGAGCAAUGAGAGGUUUUUACUCUUAGAUUCAGCCUAAAAAUAAUAUUGGAUAUAUAAAAGUGAAUGCAUCCAGCCCUCCAUAUUCAAAGAUAUCCAUGGUUUGAAAAUAUCCCAUGCCCCCUCCCCAAAUAUCCAAAACUAAACGUUGAUGUUAUCUUUUUAUAUACACCAUGUCAUUGUAUAUAAUGGGCCUUAAGCAUCCACAAAUGUUGAUGUUCAAGGGAGUGACUGGAACAAAACCACUGUACAUUGUUAAAAAGAAUAAGAAGUUGCUUGAGUCAAAGAUUCAUUGCAUUUGUUCAUUACUAGAGUUCUUAAUUGUGGUAUAAGUGAUAGAAGAGCUAGUAUAUUCAAAUCUGAUUUUUUUAUUAGGAAUGUCCUUAAUGUAGGACCCCUAGGGUCCAAAAUUCAGUGAACUGUAAUAAAUAUUUCCUAUUUUUGUUGUUGAUGUCAAGAAGCUUCAAAGGGUUCUUCCAGACCUUGCUAUACAACGUAUUUUCUGUAGUAAUGUUAGGAUUAAAGAUGGGUUCUAGAAUGUCCUAGAGAGGUUAGACUGGGAAAACUUGCUAUCUUUCCAUAGAAAGAUCAGACAUUUGAGGACUGAUUACUAAUGAUAGGGUGCUGCACUGUUUGCAUUCAUUGUUUUUCUUCCUUAAUUGCAUACAUUUAAUAACUUUUUAUUCUUAUGACAGUUUUAUUAUAUUUUGCUUUUUGAUUAUGUAUUUUAGCUGUAUCUAACUUUUUUAAGGUGCUUUUAGUCCCAUAGAUGAGACAAAUGAGUGAUGAUGGUUAUUAUUAUUACUAAGCAAAAAUAGGAGGGAGGGUUGGUGGAGGAGGGAGUCAGUUGGCACCUUCAUAAUAAUUGUCUGUUUUAAAAGUGCAAGGACCUUAUUUUACAGUGUAACAUCAAAAAACAAAAAUAACAAACAAAAACAGUUCCCAACAAUUGGAAAAGAGAGAAUGUCUGAAAAGUUGCAUUUGUGGUAUUUUAAAGAGCACCAGAGAAUUUUCAGUUUCUGUAUAUUUAUACUUUGCAUUUCUUUUGCUGAAAUAGCUUGUGAAACCAUAGUAUAUACUUUAGCUUCCAAUUACAUUGAACGUGAUCAAUACACAUCAAAGUGAAAGUUAUUUGGCAGGGGUCCCCAAACUUUUUAAGUGGAGGGCCGGUUCAUGGCCCCUCUGACUGUUGAGGGGCCGAAUUAUCAUUUGAAAAAAAAUACAAACAAAUUCCUAUGCACACUGCACAUGUCUUAUUUGUAGUGCAAAAAACCCACCAACAAUAAUUAUUUAUUUAUUUACUGCAUUUAUCCCCCACCCUCUCUCACCCCGAAGGGGACUAAGAGUGGCUUACAAGUUGUAUGUACAUACAAUAUAUGAUAUUAGAAUAGAACAAGAUUAGCAUGAUAUAUUACUAUAUUGUACUAUACCACUGUACUGUAAUAUUAUUAGUAAUAUUACAUUUAAUAUAUAAUAUGCAAUUAAUAUUAUUAUAUUACACAAUAUUAUUAUAUUGUAUUAUUAUUAUUAGCCACCCUGAGUCCCCUAUUGGGUGAGAAGGGAGGGGUAGAAAUACUGUAAUAAAUAAAUAAAUAAAUAAAUAUUAUAUUGUAUUACAUUAUAAAAUUAUUAUCAAUAUUAUAUGUAUACACAAUAUAUUAUAUUAUUAGGAUUGCACAGUAUUAGUAAAUUAAAGAACAAUACAAUAUUUAAAAAUAAAAACAAUUUUAACCAACAUACUGUGUAAACCUAUCAGGAUUUCAAUGGGAAGUGUGGGCCUGCUUCUGGCCAAUGAAAUAGUCAAGCUAAGUAGGAUUGUUGUUGUGUCUUCAAGUCAUUUUGGACUUCGGGUGAGCCUAAGUCUAAAACUGAGGGCGGGGGCCAGGUCAAUGACCUUGGAGGGCCGCAUCCGGCCCCCGGGCCUUAGUUUGGGGACCCCUGGUUAUUUGGAGUGGCUAAAAUGCAUGUACAGUAGAGUCACUUAUCCAAGCCUCGCUUAUCCAAGCCUCUGGAUUAUCCAAGCCAUUUUUGUAGUCAAUGUUUUCAAUAUAUUGUGAUAUUUUGGUGCUAAAUUCAUAAAUACAGUAGUUACAACAUAAGAUUACUGCGUAUUGAACUACUUUUUCUGUCAAAUUUGUUGUAUAACAUGAUGUUUUGGUGCUUAAUUUGUAAAAUCAUAACCUAAUUUGAUGUUUAAUAGGCUUUUCCUUAAUCCCUCCUUAUUAUCCAAGAUAUUUGCUUAUCCAAGCUUCUGCCGGCCCGUUUAGCUUGGAUAAGUGAGACUCUACUGUAGUUGGAAGAACUAGCCUUAAUCUAGGUGAAAAAAAAAGAAACAUUUGGUGAUGAUAUUUUUCUAAAUAAAUUCUGUAAGUCAUGGGUGAGAAUUCUAUUAAUGGUGUCUUUUGAUAAGAACCUUCCCAAAUGGCAUAUUUCUUAUUAAAUUUGUAUAUAUUAGAUUGGGCCAAAUGUCUAUGUCUAGUUUUGAAAAGUGUUUUAUUAUUAUUUUGAACAGUGGAGGAGAAGGUAUGCAACCUAUUUAAAAGAUGGGUUGUCAUUUGGAGGUUUCAAGUCCAAGCAAUUUACACAUUUUUUUUGCUUGAAAAAGGACAGACUGAAAAGUCAGAAAGGGUUGAGGGCUUUAUAAAUAGUCUUGGGCAUCCCUGGAGCCAAAACUGUGCCCACUGCACAGUGUAUUUCGACUGAAUUGCACUAUAUUUAGUCAGGACAGUGACUGAAGAGAUUAGGAGUAGCAAGCAUGUAAGAUUUAUUCUCUGCCAGUUUUUUUUCCAAAAUAUUUCACUUUGUUCAGCUUUCUUGUCUUCACAUUAUCAUAUCAGCACACCUUCUGUGACAGCAGGCAUUUGAAUACGGUUGAGAUGGGUGCUUUGUAGAUUUAGAUUUUUACAUCUAAUUCUGUGCUUUCUCUUUUGUUGGAAUGAUCGAGAAAACAACAGUAUCAACUGCUUUUGCUUGUUUGCUUCAGUGUUGCUUUUUAAGGUGUAUUAUUAAUGAAAUGCACAUUUUCUAAGCUCCUGCCCCUCAAACAAAAAUAUGAGAUUUGGAACUCUAGGAGUUUAUGGGCUAGCCACAAAUGGGGCCAAACUUAGAAAGAUCUUCAAACUCUGCAGACCUAGUCAGUGGAAGCUGUUUUAACUUCAAUACUUGCUAAAUAUUUGUUACCCCUCCCCAAAUAAAUAAAUAAAUUUAUAAACAUAACCAAAAUAUUUUUAAAAGCUUUUCUGUGACAAAAAUCACAUUAAACUGUGUAAAAACCUAUAUCAGAACCAUGUGAGUAAUUUUGAUUCAGUUUUAUAGCUAAAGGCUUCAAUUUCACUUUAUCAUGUUUAGCAUAAUUUAGUAUUCUUGGCACACAGAUGUUAAAAUCCAGCUUUCGAUUUCUAAUUUAUCAUGGAUGUGAUUGAGUUCCUGCACUGAAUUAAAUGCUGUGUCAAAGCAGUGUUUUAGUAUUUUAUGCAGAUUGUUUGCUUGCAUGAACAGGGAAAUAAUAUUGUUGCACUGUAUAGAUAACUCUGUGACCACAAUCGUGAACCCUCUGGAUGAAAUCCAAUUAUUUCCUUCCACUGGAAAUAAAUAAAUAAAAUGAAAUAGGGAAAAAACAUCCUCUUGCAGUGUGGAUUAUGCUCCUUUAUGCAGUUUGAUUUGGCUAUAAUUAGGGCUCCAGGUAAGGCAGAAGAAAGUUAAAAGUCUGUUACCCACAGCAGUCUGGUAUUUGCUCUGGGGUUUGGGAUUCUAUAGUAUCCUCAUAUAUGUGUGUGUGUGUACAUACAUUUGUUUUUAAAAAAUGGGUAUGUAGAGCUUAAAAAUCUAUCAGUAUAUCAAAUCUGUUGUGAAACUUAUGUUUGAUGUUGAAGCCAACAUAUUGAUGCUUGUAGGAAAAUCACAGCUUCUUCCUCCCCCUUUCUUUUAACAAUGUAAAUCUUCAGCAGAGAAACGUUCAAUGAACUAUAAAAGGGUUAACCUUGCAGUCAAGCCACAUAUCAGUUUCUUCAAAAUGCCACUGGGAAAGCGAGAUAAAUUGGGGAACACUUUCUGCAUUGACAUGAUGUUCACCUGUCCGAUUGCAUCCUCCCCAACAGACAGCAAUGAAACAGUUACAAAAUAAAAAGACAUCUGUGCCAAGGUUUGGCUAGCUGGAGAGGGCAAACUCUUGUGUUUAAGAGGUAUAGAAUCCAAUCGAUGAAAAUGUCUGGGCCUGUUAGUGCCAAUAAAGCUGAAGGCCACUGGGAAGCUCAGAGAGGGCCUUUUGUUGUAGAGAUAGAAAAGAGGCCCAAACAGUGACACUUAGGGAGCAAUAGGGUCAGCCAGGACGAUCAUCCAUCUUCCUCAGUGGCAGCUUUCUGUCAGCUUCUAACCCUGCUCAGCAGAGGAGCUAAACCUCUAUUGUUGACACCAGCCAAUUCUCAGCCAAGUGUAAAUGAAGUUAAUAUUCACUGACCUUAUGCAUAGCCAAUGAAGGCCCUCAGUGUCAUCUUGGAAAUAAUGUUAUCUGACACUUCAAAAGCAAAUGCUGGCAGGUUGUUUGUGUAUUUUUUCUCCUUUUUUUGGCGGGGGAGUGCUAUGCAACUCUGCAGAGCUCUGUUGUUCCUCUGAUUUAUAUUAUCUACCAAGAGGAUAUUUCUUCUUAAACCAAGGUAAGUAAGUUCUACUUUUUCCAUGGCCUUUGGUUCAUACAAAACAACAAUUGAGGAUUGACUUCAGGAGAGGUUCAGCUCUCAAGAAAUAACCUUUAUGUUUCUAUUCUAUUAAAUAUCAAAAGGCAUAGGAAACAUUAGAUGUGCAGACCUAGAACAAAUGCAUGAGUAAGUAACUUGGCAAGAAAUAGCAUUUUACAUUUUUGGUUUGUUUGUUUUAAAGAAACCGUGUUAAAAGUCCAUUUGACUUUGCUGUUACUCAUUGUUUCUUACUGUUGCCCUAGUAGCAUGUUUUCAAGAUAAGUAUCUAAAAUACGCAAAAGUUUAAAUAUUUGGGAGAUAUUCUUAAUAAAAUAAACAAAUCUUUUAGAAUACUUUUUAUCAGUAAAUUUUAGGACUGCAAUGCUUCCCUGAUCUGCGAGAACUUAUUUCAAAACCUCAUGCAGAUGCCUGAAACUACAGGUCUUGCUAAACCCUAUACUAUAAUAUUUUAAGACCUCUGUUUACUGUGGAUAACUGGAACUGUCAGAAAGAACACAUGAAUAAGGGGAAAAUAUGUGUUAUUUUCAGACUACAGUUAACUUCAGGAAACUGGAACCACGGCGAGCAAACUCAAGGAUAUAAUAAUUAUCAAAAAAUGCAGAAUAUACUCACUGUUCUUCUGUUUUCUUGUUAUUGUUGAUAUAAUUUUCAUCACAACCUCUGCUAGAUAGAUAUCAGCUUUUGGAACGAAGAAAACUAAUAAUGUUAUUUAAACAUUGAAACAAUAAAAGAAUAAUUCGGCUUGAACAUACUAUAACUGCUGUAUUUAAAUAAGUAUGUUUAGGAGGUGAAAAAUACCAUGAAAAACUAUGACCAUUUCCCAGAAAUGACUCUAAUUCUCUGCCCUCUUUUGUCAGAUAUGUUUACUUUAGUAAGUUACUUCUCAUAAACUGAAUAUAGUACAACCUCAUUAAUCUGAAGAGUGUUAGUCUCUACAGGAUUGUGGAUUGCUUGGAAAUGUAGCAUAUCCCCUCAGAAAUUCCUGGUAUAAAGUAGGGUAUAAAUAAACAGAUAAGACAAUUAUGUUUCAUAUAAAUGAGAGUACUAAUUACUAGGCUUGUCCGAUCGAUGGAAAAAAUGUUUCAAUUCUCAUUUCUAAAGUAGGGGUGCCGGCGCUUCGAUAUAGAAAUUAUUUCCGAAUUUUUCACCCAAAAUUUUCGGAUAUUUCCGAAAAUUCGUAAUGUUUCUAAAUGUUUCUAAAAUUGUGGACGCGCAUGCGCAAUCGCCAAAAAAAAGAAACCGGGGGGGGGGACUUUUACAGGGCUCUCCCACCCUCAUUUCUUAAGCUAUCCUCAUCAAAUUUGGUACAGUGGGAGAUCAUAUUCAACACUCUUUGCUCAACAAAUUGCAGAACGUUUCCUGUCUCCUAUGAUUUUUGGCGAAUUUUCAUAACUUUUUAUAAUACACUAUUUUUCAAUAUUUGAAGAAACCUGUUCCUGGUUUGAAAGUCUUAUUUCCUGUUCAAUUGGGUUCUUAUCACUGUAAAAGUCCCUCUUCUACUUGUGUAGACUUUGGAUUAGAAACGCAGCACACACUAAGCAAUGCCUUGGCAGGAGUGCCACUGUCCUUUGGAAACUAUAAAUUGCCUUUGAACCUUUUGAUCAAUGGUGCCACUGGCUGACCUUGUGAUUGCAAAAAUGAAACUCUGGCUGAGGACUUUGGAUUAGAAACGCAGCACACACCAAGCAAUGCCUUGACAGGAUUGGCAAUGUCCUUUGGAAACUAUAAAUUGCUGUGGACCCUCUAUUGAAUCAAAUCAAUGUCUGACUUUGUGAUUGCAGAAAUAAAACUCAGCCCAAGGCUUGGGAAUAGAAAUGGAGUGUGAGGAAAGCAAUGCCUUGGCAGGAGUGCCCACGUCCUUUGGAAACUAUAAAUUGCUGUGGACCCUCUAUUGAAUCAAAUCAAUGUCUGACUUUGUGAUUGCAGAAAUAAAACUCAGCCCAAGGCUUGGGAAUAGAAAUGGAGCGUGAGGGAAGCAAUGCCUUGGCAGGUGCCCCACGUCCUUUGGAAACUAUUUCUUCCAAUGUACCCUUUAGGUUUGAAAACAAUGUGUGUCUUUGUGAUUGCUGCAAUAACACUCAGCCCGGGGGCUUGGGAUUACAAACGGAGCGGGAGGGAAGCAAUGCACUUGCAGGAACGCAGACGUCCUUUGGAAACUAUUAUUUUCAAGUCCCCCCCCCUUUCAGGAUUGCAAAGAAGGGCUGAUGUGGUGAUUGCUAAAUUCCAAAAAAGAAAACAGAAAGGCAAAGGGACUCCCUCUGGAGUAGAAAAGUAAAGCACCCCAAGCUCAGCACUUGCAGGAACGCAGACGUCCUUUGGAAAAUAAAAAUUCCCUAAAGCCACAGCAAGGACUCUGCCACAAGCCCCAAGCCAAUUUCCCAAAAAGAAACAAAAACAAAACACAAUAUCGAACCAGCAACAACAGACAGACACUCUACCCCCUAUAGCCAGAACAGUCACUUAGCCCUCUCUCCCCCAAGCAAGCAAGCAGCUUCCCAGCGUGCACGAACCACCUUCUCUGCUCGGUAUCCUAGCCCAGAAUGGCUUGGCUCGGUUGGGGAGGGGAUUUUUAUAGAGAUCCUCCAUGUGGACGCGGAGGAUGCUAGCCCCCACCUUUUUCAGCCAUCGUGGAAGUCUCUGAUUGGCCAGGGAGCGGUAGCCAUGUUAGGCUGCGCUAGGCUCCCAUUCAUGUUAGGUUGCAGAAAUAAAAUAAAAAAUUAAAAAACUUUUUAAAGAAAAUAUUUAAAAAAAAUUUGGAAGGAAAAAAUUUAAUGAAAAUUUUAAGAAACAAUUAGAGAAUGGGCCAAUGAUGGUUCGAAUUACAUUGCCAGUUGCGCCCAGGGAAAACGUUUCAAUACUCGUUUCAAAAAGUGAGAACAAUCCAAAAUAAUUACGAAAGGAGAAUUAUAAUGAAAAUUUGGACAACCCUACUAAUUACUUUUCCAUGGAAAAGGACAAAAGAUUUGCUUAUAUGAAGUUUUGAUCACAUAAUGAGAAUUAUGGAAUCAGUUGAAAACGAACUACCAUUUUUACAUGAUAGUAGAAUUUGAAAAUCAAACUUAUCAAAGUUCAUAUUUAUGAAGUGAAAAAACUGAAUAUAUGAUAACACAAAUUUUGAUCUGGGAAUACCAGAAGUGAAGUCCACAAAGAUAAGUGAUUAUCUGAUAUGCUGGAUAAAUGUCUUGAGAAUGACCAGAACGGGUCUUUAUCUAAUUCACACCAAUUACGCUAAAUGUAAAUAUAAACAGUCCAUAGAAAUUUUAAAGGACAGUAUUGAUUUUACUUCACUUCACCAGACUUGUUGAUUUGUAGUUAUUAAAGACAAGAACAUGUUUUCUUUAAGAACAGAUGUAUUCAGAUAGCAGAUAAUCGGAUUUCCCCUGAUUAUAUUAAUACAAGUCAGAUGUGAUAACAGUGGGUUUGAUCAUGUUUCUAAAACCAAAGUAUAUGAAUAAAUGAAUGCUGAAAAAGAAGAAAAUGCAUAUAGUUAGCCAUUUUCAGAUGAUGAAUGAAGUCAUGAAAAAGUCUGCUUAAUUUUCUGAACAUUGGUAAUUUUUUGAGAGUUCCCUCAUUCAUUUGGUAAUUACAAACAUCAUUAUUCAUGGAUUCAUUUAUGUAGUCUUACAUAAUAUCAGACUAUGAAUGAUGUUUAAAUAAGUCACUUGGGAAAUGCACAUUUUUUACACAACUGUCAUGCAGAAUGUGAAAUCCCCCCCCCCCCCCCCCAGUGGAGACUGCAGGUCCAUCAUGGAGACACAGCUGAUUUUCAACUGGCUUAAACUGAGCAGGAAGGAGAACCAUUGAAGAUAUCUGAAAAUCUUUAUUUUAAAGUUUCUAAACUUAAACAGAGCAUGAAAACACAAUUGGGGAAAGAGAAAUCUGGGGGAAUUUUUUAAAUCCCUUCAUUAACUACUGAUCCUUAUAUACAUGCAUAGGAAUCUCUUCAUAUUUUAUAUUAAUGUAUUUGCAUGUGCACAUAUGAGGAUCAACACAUAACAAGGUAUAUUGUGUGUGUGUGUGUGUGUCCCAUCCACCCUCCAUUUUAUUCCAAGACAAAAAAAGAGCUGUGAGUAUGGUGGGGGAAGACAGCCCAGGACCCACAGGUUUGUGUGGGGACCUGCAGGCAGAUCCCGGGGUUUUUUAUCCCUCUUUGAAAAUCCACAUUUUGGUGCUUUCUGGAAGUGCCCUCAGGGACCAGCACUGAGAGUGUUGGCUUUACUCUUUUAUUGUUUUAUCACAGUUUCUGUUGUUACCAUAUAUACUAGGCUUGUGCACAGAUUUGGUUUGGUUGGUUCUUUUCGGCCAAUCUGGCUUGUUCAGAAGGCUGUAAUGAUAAGGGCUCAGCCACCACAUUUUUUUCAUCCAGAAUGGGCCAUGUGGCAGCCGAUCAUAACUCUUCCUCUUUAGCAUCACGUGGUGUGCGGAGUGGUUCUGCAUGCUGCUUGCAUGUGUUUCCCUGUGGGACCUUCUUGUUGGACCAAUCAGAAUAGAAGAACGUUGUGACCUGUCUUAGGCAAGCUGUGUCUGUUUAAUGGGGCAAGCACCUCCAUUGCUCUCAGUUGCGUCCUGGCUCUAGAGAGGUGCUCCAGUCCGAUUGCCUUGCUGCUCACUCUCAGCUUUAUUUUAUGGCUUGGCCUGGCCUGGUCUGGCCUCUUUCUUGAAUCUUUUUGAUUUUCCUUGAUUUUCUUGAUUCUUUUUAUUUAGUGGAACUGGGAGUUGGUAAAGUGCAAACAAGUGCUGUAAAAGUUUUGGAGGUUAUUUGCUUUUGUUUUUUUUUAUUAGUAAAGAAAAAAGAGUAAUAGUGGGGCAUUGGGCUGUGUGAUGUGGAAGUGCAUCUUUGAUAUUUGGCAAGAAGGAAUGGUGCCCUGCUGCUGCUCCUGGAGAAGAUACAGGGCAGGGCCAGCAGGGGGAUACCUUUUGGGGAAUUUUUAAAGGAGAUUUUAUUUCUAAAAAGAAAAGGAAUUCCUAAAAAUCAGGGGAUGACCCAAACGUUAUGAAACUUGAAGGACUAACAGUGGUAGAUGUGUCCUCUAAGUGUGGUAAUUUUCAUCCUGAUAGCCCUAAAAAUGAUGGGAAGAGGAGCCCGGGAAGCCCCCUGCCAUUGCCACCAAUGGACCUGAUCUAGCCACAUUUUUCGGCUAUGUACCGAAAAUGCUAUUUGACUACCCGACCAUUUUUGGGGCAUACAUGAAAACAGACCCAGGGAUCACCUGAAGUUUCACCAGCUGAAAUGCACAAGCCUAAUAUAUACUCAUGUAUAAGUCGACCUCAUGUAUAAGUCAAGGGCUAAAAUUAUGGAUUCUGAUAUGACUCUGAUAAAUUGUGGUUCAUUCCAUAAAAAGGGGAAAGCAUCAAUGCUCCUGGCCUUUGCUGCCAUUUCAUCAUCCAAUGAUCCAAAAAGGCCAGAAGUAGUAGAGAGGGUAGAGUAAGUUAAUGCUUUUUCAGGUUAUCCUGGGAAGGACUAAGCUCUUUCCUUUUGCCAUUCCUAUCUCAGAGAAGGGGAUGGUUCUUUUCUAUAUAAGAAUUAAGGUAGAGUACUCACACAGACCCAUGGAUAAGUUGAUCCAGAUUUUUGGCUUGUUUUUUUAUUAUGAUAUGUAAACUUAUACAUGAAUAUACAGGGUAUUUAAAAAAAUGAUCCAUAUAAGACAGGAGUGGGUAAAAUACAGUCCUGUGACCACAGGUGCCCCAUAAGAAUUCCUUUAUAAACCUUAAUUUAUCCAUUAAAACCGGUUUCAUGCCAUCAACACCUGUGGUCUGAAUUUUUUAUUCCAUCAUAAGUGAAGUUGUGGAUUGAAACUUUGGAACCUCCAUGCUAAAACAAAGCAUUCUUGAAGGUACUCUUGGGUUCUCUCUCCCCUUCCUUUUAUGUUGAAACAGACUAAUAUAAUUAUCUCCUGUAAACUAUAAUCAACUACCCCUUCCUGCGAGGACUGCUAGCCUCUUCCAGGUGAUUUUAUUUGGGAAAAAAAUGACAGCUCAUGUUUUCUUUCUGAUGGUCCCAGGGUAGAAAAUUGCCACUGCCACAGUUGCUUGUCCUCGAUUUAAGGAAUAAUAAUAAUAAUAAUAAUAAUAAUAAUAAUAAUAAUAAUAAUAAUAAUAAUAACUUUAUUUUUAUACCCCGCCCCAUCUCCCCGAAGGGACUCGGGGCGGCUUACGUGGGGCCAGGCCCGAUAAAACAAACAAAUAACAGUAACAAAGCAAUAAAACAAUUAUCCCAGUAAAAAACAUCAACAUCAAUAAAAACAAUCAUUAAAAUCAACAAGCAGAAUACAGUGUUAAAAACAGGAGACUAACAGGAAACUGGGCACCUGCAACGUGUGAUGCAGCCAAGCCUCAGGUUGAUAUUAAGUUAGCCUUGAGAAAUGCAGGAGUGCUUUUAGCAUCCCUUGGAAAACUCAGAAGUACAACUGUGAAAAUAAUACAGGGAUAAAGAGAUACUAGAUUUUUCAUUGCAGAAAUGUUUGGAGAAAAUGCCCUUUGCACUUCAUUUUCAACUGAAAAUAUUUUAACUUAACAGACAUAUUACCGUAUAAGCUUCCACAGACCAUACACCAUUAGGAGAUACAAACACUGUUAAUACCUGUAGUAGUUUUUUUCUUAUGGAUGCAUUUUUGAAAACAGUUUAAACCGUAUGAAACUUUGCAUUUAAACUGUGUUCAUUUCUUUUAAAAUAGGUCUUUUUAUGCACCCCUUAUACUAACACAUUUUUGUAUGUUUGUAUGAAUAUUGUAUUGUUCGAAGAAGUGCACAUACUAGAGAAUAACAACUGAGUAUUUAGUUCAGGAUAUUUAGAGUAGGUUUGUUUGGCUUAAAAAGUGCAGAGUAGACAAAAUUGUCAGUAUUUAUGCCGUAAGUAAUUUGUGAUUUUGACAUCAGAAUAAAAUAAUAAUUAUUUUUUGUCUAGGCCAGUGUUUAGGUUUUUCUAACCUCAUGUAGGUUUCUCUAAUGGUUCCAUUUAAUUCUCCUUUGGUCAGAUUCAGAUAUUACUUGGACCACUGUUAACAAUUUAUGAAAAAUGUUGGCUAACUUGAAUAUGUCUAGAAAGAGGCAUGUACUAAUAUUUAGUUAAAAUAUCUUUUCCUGUAGUUUAAAUUCUUUGGUCCAUGGAGCAGCAGAAAAACAUGCUUGCCCAACUUCAAUAUGGUGUCCUAUCCUCAUCAAAGAGCCAGUGGAGAGUUCAGUCUGGCUCAAUUUUUAUUCUUUUCCAAUAGAGACUAGACACUUAACGCUUACUGAAUCAGACACUGUUAUCAACUCAAACACAUUUGGGGGGUUGCUGACUGGCAGAAGAAAGAAAAACAAAUAGCAAAGAAAGAGAAAACAUCCUAGCCCUUUCCUAACCCAUUGCUAAUGGAUAGGAGAGCAGCAGGAACACAAUAGUGAACCUGGUGUUUCCUCCAGUAGAUUGAAAGAGAUAUGUAUGUUUAGCAUGAUGAAGAACAAUUCCAGAAGUGAUUGCCAAAUAUUUGAAGACCUUGCACAUAUAGAUUUCUUUUGUUAGAGGGACUUCAUCAAAAAGGCCUAUGAAUUUGCCCUGCCUCAGGGCAAAUCCAUGGGCUCCCAGUGGGUUGUGGAGAAGCUGCCGCUCCACUCCCCACACCCCCUGCUUUACCAUGCUCCUCAUACCAUGAGGGAAAGCGUUGCAGCCCACUGGGAAGGUGACAUGGGAAGGCUCCCAUGUUGCCAUGGUGGCAGCAUGCACUGCUUCCUCUCCCUAUUUGGCAUGGAGCCCCGCCAGAAGUGCCUGUAUGUUGUGUGAAAGGCUGCAAGCCAAAAAUGGAGGUGAAGCAGCAUAUGACUAGCAAAUCAGCUUGUCUGAUGAGGUAGCCAAACCAGCUAAUUCAAAUUAAAAGAAAUAUGACUAAGCUUUAGGAAGAAGACUUCAUUCUUUGUUGAAGAAAUGAUGGCUACAUAGGUCGGAUGCUCUACUAGUGAUUUCCCACAUUGACAGGAUGUUGAACCACAUUAUGUUCCUGGUUCCUUGUAACCUUAUUAAAGUGAGCUCUUGGUAUUCAUUGGGGGGUUGUACCCCUAUGGAUACCAAAAUCACUGGACUUGGUUGUUGAUUAAAUGUAUUAGAACUCUUUAUUGCUGUGGAUCAGAGGGGGUGCUAUUGAUUGAAGGGCCAUUAAUUCAUGGGGGAAAAAAACCAAUCAGAGACUUGUGUCAGAAGUGGGAAGAAUCAUAACCAAAAUUCAUCACUGAAUGCUCUUGCCUUGUUUGUUGGUAUUCUUGCUGUCUUUUCCCUUUCUGUUCUUAGGCACCAGGUGAAACCUUAUGAACUUCUAGCAGGGACAGGGUUUGGUCAUAGUUUAUGAAAUUAGUAUUGCCAGUACUGUUAAAUGUUUGUUUUACACUCGUUCACUCACCUGAUUCUCUGGUUGGAAGAAACUAACAUAUCAGAAUGGGCUCCUGCUGUAGGUUGAGCCUUUCUUCCAAAGUUAUAUAUGAGUUAAAUCUUUGCCCUAAAACUUUUCACACCUACAAGGUGGAGGAUAGGUUGAUGGAUGCAGUUAAGCUAUAUUUGAGGAAAAUCUGUCAACCAUUAGAAGAGCUUGGAAAAAACAGUAGAGUAUAUGCUGACCUACCCUGUUUCCCCGAAAAUAAAACAUCCCCAGAAAAUAAGACCUAGUAGAGAUUUUUCUGAAUUGCUAAAUAUAACGCCUCCCCUGAAAGUAAGACCUAGCAAAGCUUUUGUUUGGAAGCAUGCCCGCCGAACAGAACAUCAGAGCAUGCAGGAUCGGUAAAUGUAUGUACCAUAGAUGCUGUACAUGAAAAUAAUGGUAGUAACAAGAAAUUCUUGAUAGGAUUCAGUUUGUCUGGUUAUGCUGGUUUGUAUGAUAUCUACUGUACAGUAUAUAAUGUUAUUUUUUUUUGUUCAACAAUAAAAGUGAAUUAUUCUUCAUGGAAAAAUAAAACAUCCCCUGAAAAUAAGACCUAGCACAUCUUUGGGCGCAAAAAUUAAUAUAAGACACUGUCUUAUUUUUGGGGAAACACGGUAGCAAUGCAAGUUUUUUUUUAAAAAAAAAUUAAAACUUCCAGAAUCUCUAAACUAGCAUGACUAUUGACUUACUGACCUUUUUAUUAAUGAACUCUUAACACAUUUCAAAAAACCAAAAACCUUAUUCCUCUCAAUACAGCAUGAAAUCUAUCAAUCCAGGUGAAGUGUAGUGGUUUCAGCACGAGACUAUGACUCUGAAGACCAGGGUUCAAAUCCCCACAGAAACCAACUAGAUGAUUUUAGUCAAGUUGUAUUCUCCCAGCCUCAGAUGCAGGCAGAGGCAAACUCACUUUGAAUAAAUCUUAGCAAGAAAACCCUGUGAGAGAUUCACCUUGUGGUUUCCAUAAAAUUGAAGGAUUUAAAGGCACAUAACACAGGACUUUAAAUACAAAAUGAAAAGAUGAAGUAAUUAAAAAGGAGUAAGUUGCCUAGCUUCAAAAAUCAGAAGCCAUUGUUUUGAUGUUAGUUGGUGCACAUCCGUGGACUAUAGCAAAUUUCUUUAUGAAAUAUCUAACCCAGGGUAGAUAACUUUGUACUCUCCAGAUUUUUUUUGUAGAGUUCUCCUAUUUCUUUGCCAGGGUCAUCCUUGCAGUCCAAACAAAGCAUCUGCAAAGAGCUACAGUGCUGGUCUAUAAUCCAGCCUCUCAUUUACCUACCUAGAAAGGAUAUAGGAGAGAAGAGAAUUGGGAGAGGCCAGUUUUUCCUGCCAUAUACAUUUGCUCCUCAAGACAAGCAUCUUGAAAACCAAGAUACCGAUAAGGGCAUUACGAUGUAUAAAGUCACAGAAUAGUGUUUUAUAUCUGAAGAUGUAUUUUUUUGUGUCUGAAAAGGGGAAAAUGCCACUGAAUUGAAUCGCAGAGUAUUUGAUGCAUUCCUGCUUUCAAUAUUGAAUACACAUUUUGCCUUUUUUGUUCAGGUUUACAAAAUGUUGCAAACAACUCAUCCUCAAAUAAUCUAAAUGGAAAGUGUUUGCUUAAAGGUACACUUCUGUUUGUUUUGUCUGUAAAGGAAAGAAGUAAAGAAUAGUCAGAAGACAGGUUCUUUGUACUAAAUGUCAGCAGAAGAUUCAUUACACCAAUAGUGACAUCUCUAGCUGUGAAUUGUGUGUUUCUAAGGAGGUGGCUGCUUUUUCUUUGUUGCUGUUUGAGUGAAAAAAUAAGCCUGACAUUACCAACAACAGUUUUAGUGUAGCUGCUCUGUCCAGGACUAAUGUGGUCACUCUGCCCAUUGCUUUUUCCUAUGAGAGUUACGCAAAAGAGCAUGCAGGGAACAGAAGAAUAAAAACUCAUGAGGAGUUAGCAUGACUUACUUUCUGAUUAAUCUCAUGGGUAGUGGGGCCAGAUGUAAGAGUCAAACUUUGACCCAGUUGUGUUAUUCAGAAUAAUAGGUAAUUUUCACCUCCUCUUUGUCUGGGUCUCUACAGAAAAGGUCUGUAUAGAUUGGAGUUCAUUGUGUAUUGCAUUGUCAGCAAAGCUGUGAUUUUCUCUGACAGUUACAUCAGUGGGGAUAGGGAAGGAGAAAAAAUGGAAUUAAAGCAUGAAAAAUUGCUUUGUUCUCUAGAGUUCUAGAGAACAGGCUUUGAAGCUCUUCUAUGCAAUCUUCAGCACAUCUGCAGAUAAUUAAAUUUAUAAAGAAUAAACAUCAAAAUUGUAUUUUAAAAAUUUAAUAUUGCAAGGAGAAAGGCAAAACAAAAUCAAUUGAAAGUGUAGAUGGAAUAUUUUAUGGUGAGCAUUUGGCAUUACUCAAUUAAAAAACAUAUUACAUGACUAAUAAACAAUCACCUUGGAAGAUAGUAAUCAAAAUGUGCAUGUUUGAUAAAAUUGAAGAAAGUAGGGAAAAGGGAAGACAAUAUUACAGAUUGGUUCAUACAAAGUCUGAACACAGCUUUUAGAGAGCUCUCACUCAUAAGGUUGUCAUAAGCCAAUUUGGCAACAAGUAACAGCAAAUAUAUGUAUACAGGGUUGUUGUGUGUUUUCCGGGCUGUAUGGCCAUGUUCCAGAAGUAUUAUAUCCUGACGUUUCGUCCACAUCUAUGGUAGGCAUCCUCAGAGGUUGUGAGGACAGUUUUACUCAAUAUAUUAGGAUUAAACAGAUAGACCAUUAAUAACAUUACUGACAGGAAAUAAUUUAUUUGGAUAGAAAUUCCAGUUAAAAUAAUUCUCUUGAUUUCUAAAUAUAUGUAAAAGGCAAAAGUGAAAGUACAUCCAAAAUAUAAGCUUCACAAAUCAUUCCAAAAUCUAGGUUACAGUCAGCAUUAAACAAAGUCCAGCACUGACAGUAAAACCAAAAUCCAAAAAACUUAGACCAAGAACUGAUCCAAAUGAGGUCCCCAAUCCCAAACAGGUAAACAUGACAUGAAAGCAAGGCCAGAAUCUCAAUCACAGAGCGCAAGAAAAAGGUGACUUUCUUUGGAAAAUACAAAGUUGUUAUCACACAGAACAAUCCAAGGGGUUAGCUUAAGACACUAUUGGUUCCCAUAGAGACACUAACACCUGGAAUCCCUCUGUUUAUUUUUCAAAUGCUGAGAAAACCUUAAUUGCCUCUGCUUGGCACUAGCUCCCUGUAACUGAAGAUGCUGUGUUAUGGGCAAUAAUCCAACAUCUUCCACCUCCCUCACAUCUUUCCCCGGGUCAGGGAGAGCCUCUGCCAUUGUUUUAUGUGAAACAUCCUCAAUAAAAGCAGAUUUGUCUGUAAAGCCAUUCCCAUCAUCUAGGGAAGAACUACAUUCUCCCUGAUGGAGACAUUCAGUCUCCAAUUCAGAAGCACAAGGCCCCACCAAAGGGUCUCCCUCCUCCUCAGACCAGGCCUCAACAUUAGGUUUGUAACUAUAAAUAAAAUCAUCAACCUUUACCAGUUUUCAUAAAGGUGGCUGCGGCAUGGCCCAGAUUGCAGCGAGAAGGGCCAGGCCAUGGCGGGAAGGAUCUUCUCGCUGCAGCCUGGCCCUUCUUGCUGCGAACUGGGCCUGCAGCCACCAUCCAGCCCGCACAGCUUGGCCCCGCCCACCAUGCCGCACGGCUCCGCCCACCACAUUGAGCAAGGUGGUGGGCGGGGCCAAGUUGUGUGGGCUGGAUGGUGGCUUCGGUAUGGCCCAGAUCGCAGCGAGAAGGGCCAGGCUGCAGUGGGAAGGAUCUUCCCACCGCGGCUUGGUCCUCACUGCGAACUAGGCCAGUGGCCGCCAUCUGGCCCACACGGCUUGGCUCUGUCCACCACGCUGCAUGGCUCCGCCCACCAUGUCACGCAACGUGGUGGGCGGAGCCAAGUGGUGUGGUGGGUGGAGCCAUGUGGCAUUGUCCUUCCCACCGUGGCCUGGGCCUUGCCGCCAUGCUGCUUGUGUGGCCCUGGGAAGGCCCAGGCCACGGCAGGAAUGACCAGCCCCAAGCCAAAGGAGGCUCGAGGGCGCCCCCGGGAUGAUGGCACCACAGGCAAAUGCCUCCCUCGCCUGGCGGGUGGACCGCCUUUGGCUGUUAAUCCAUAUUGAGUUCCCAGGAAACUAAACAAAUGCAAAAAAUCAAGAUUAGAGAUAUUUAAUUGCAAAAUGUAAUGGGUAAACAAGCUAGGUUGUAAAUUCAGCCCUCUAUAUCCAUGAAAUGAGCACCUGUAGAUUUAACUAUUCAUAACUUGAAAAUAUCCCCCUCACAGACAAAAAAAAAGGGGGGGGGAGAAGCAAAAAACAAACCUUGAUUUUGUCCUUUUAUAUAAAGGACACAAUUUUACUAUGCCAUUGUACAUAAUGGGACUCCACAGAUUUUGAUACAGGAUCCUGGAACCCUAGUGGCUGCCAAGUGCCCGCUGUAUUGUAAUUGUUAGAUGCCUAAUUUAUGGCAACUCUAUGAUAUUUUUUUGGGCAAAUUUAUUCAUAAGGUUUAUCCAGUGGAGAUUUGCUAUUGCUUUUCGCUAUGCUUCCCCAAGAUCACCCAAUGGGAUUUUUCCUAGCUGAGUGAGGAUUUGAUCCCCUAUAACCCUAGACUCCAUGCCCUUCUACACAGGCCUCAAUCCCAGGAGGAACUGGGAUAUUUUAUCCCCGUUCCCCUCAGAACUGAGGCCCCACACCCACCCCAAACCCCGGGAUAUCUCUAGGGGGUGGCUACAUGUUCCCAGCCCUCCCAUUUACCCCACAAACUCACAUGAGGGACUGGCUGCAUGCUCACACCCCUCCGUCAAAAUCUCCUGAUGCAUGCAGCAUGCAGCCAAUCCCCUCAUGUAUGUUUUUGGGGUAAAUGUGGGACUGGUAGGGAAGAGUGAGGGUACCAUCCCGCUCCUUUGGGCUCUUGGAGCUUGAAGAACUGGGAUCAUAGUGGGGAUUAACCCAUGGGAUCACCAAAGCAGUCCCAACAGUCAAUCCCCACAGGGCCCACACCUGGAAAGGUCUGGACCUUACAUUAAGGUCCAGACCUUUCCACAUGUCAAAUUAAUCCAGAGUAAACUGGGAAAUUCAUUUUACUCCAUAUUUAUUUGGUUUUACCUGAGGCAUCAUUUGGACACCCCAGGUAAAAACCCUUCACAGGUCCCAUGUUUUGGGACUAACCUAUAAUUGCAUCUGAAAUGUGCUGUUGGUUCACAUAUGUUUUGCAUAUAUCUAUUGGAAUAUCAGCAGGUGCAGCACUAUGCUUGCGCAACCCUAGUGGUGUUUCUGUUUACAAUAAGAGUGCAUAUUUCCUUGUCAUUUGAGGAUGACAUUCAUCAAAUGUUCUGGGAAUGUCCUGCACACAUCUUGUGCCUUCUUUUUUCUGUACCGAAACAUUUAGUUGACAUUCUGAAGACAGAUUCCCCCUUAUAUAAAAAGACUAGCUGUGCCCGGCCACGCGUUGCUGUGGCGAAGUAUGGUGGUAUGGGAAAUAAAGUAUUGAGGAAUUGGUGGUAGUUAAAGUCAAGGGUAAAGGUUUUCCCCAGACAUUAAGUCCAGUCGUGUCUGACUCUGGAGGUUGGUGCUCAUCUCCAUUUCUAAGCCGAAGAGCCGGCGUUGUCCGUAGACUCCUCCAAGGUCAUGUGGGAUGACUACAUGGAGCGGCGUUACCUUCCCGCCGGAGCAGUACCUAUUGAUGCACUCACAUUUGCAUGUUUUCGAACUUCUGGGUUGGCAGAAGCUGGAGCUAACAGUGGGGGCUCUCUCCGCUCCCCCAAUUCAAAUCUGUGGCCUUUCAGUCCAGAAGUUCAGCAGCUCAUAAAUGUGUGUGUGUGUGUUGGAUAAGUGAGACUCUACUGUAUAUUGAUAAUCUUAUAUUAUCUGCUUAGAACUGGAUUAUAUGAGGCCCCUUCUUCACAGCUGUAUAAAAUGCACACUGAAGUGGAUUAUAUGGUAGUGUGGAGUCAAGAUAAUCCAGUGCAAAGCAGAUAAUAUAAGAUUAUAAAUGGGUUAUAUAGCUGUGUGGAAGGGCCUUGAGUCUACACUGCCAUAUAAUCCAGUGCAAAUUAGAUAAUCUGUGGAAAAAGUCUAAGUGAGGCCUAAAUCUGCCUGUCCCCUAACUGAAACCUGGCUGUCCCUUGGUUGCUAGGAGACCAAGUGGGCAGAGAUUAGCCCUCUAAACUGGCAGCAAUUGGAUAAAAAAAAUUAUUGCUCUCGCUCUAAUUAGGACUUUAUUUUUCUUUUCUUUUUGUUGUAUCAAUCUUGAGGCGUGAAUGAUGGGUUGUGUUGUCAAAUUUUGAGGUUGGGGGGCCUGUACUUUUGUUGUUUUGUGAAUUGCCGUGAUGCCAUCACUCUUUUAUAUAUAUAGAUAACAAAAGGAAUCUACAGAAACUCCAGGCAUUCUUGGUAGACACUGAUUUUCUAGAUCCGGCGCAGUCUGGCUUUAGGCCAUGGUAUCCUUUUGGGAUGCCUUGCCGGAAUCGGGCUCGGGGGUACUGUUCUGCAGUGGCUCCGGUCCUUUCUGGAGGGUCAUUCCCAGAUGGUCUCAUUAGGGGACACCUGCUUGGCCCCGCAGGGGUUGCUACUGUCUCCCAUGUUGUUUAAAAUAUACAUGAAGCCGCUGGGAGAUAUCAUCCGGAGUUUCAGGGUGAGGUGUCAUCUGUACACAGAUGAUGACCACCUGUCACUAAGGAGGCUGUUCAGGUCCUGAACCGGUGCUUGACUGCUGUGUCGGACUGGAUGAGGGCGAACAAAUUGAGGUCCUCCUGGUCAGUCGUAAGGCUGAACAGGGAAUAGGGUUACAGCCUGUGUUGUACGGGGUCGAACUCCCCCUGAAGACGCAGGUUCGCAGUCUGGGUGUUCUCCUGGACUCAUCACUGAGCCUUGAACCCCAGGUCUCAGCGGUGGCCAGGGGAGCAUUUGCACAAUGAAGACUUGUGCGCCAGCUGCGCCCUUUCCUUGGGAGGUGUGACUUGGCCAUGGUGGUCCAUGCUCUGGUUACAUCCCGUUUGGAUUACUGCAACACGCUCUAUGUGUGGCUGCCUUAGAAGAAGGCGCGAAAGCUCCAAUUAGUACAACGGGUGGCAGCCAGAUUGUUAACUGGGGUGGCAUACAGGGAGCAUACUACUCCACUGUUAUGCCAGCUCCACUGGCUGCCGAUAUGCUACCGAGCCCAAUUCAAAGUGCUGGCUUUGACCUACAAAGCCCUAAAUGGUUCUUGUCUAACUUACCUGUCCAAAUGUAUCUCCUCCUAUGAACCAUCAAGAACGCUAAGAUCGUCUGGAGAGGCCCUGCUCUUGGUCCCACCUGCCUCACAGGCGUGGCUGGUGGGAACGAAGGAUAGGGCCUUCUCAUUGGUGGCUCCUCGCCUGUGGAACGUCCUCCCCAGUAACAUCUGGCAGGCCCCAACUCUUUUGGGCUUCAGGAAGAAUGUUAAGACAUGGCUUUGUGCGCAAGCAUUUAAUAAGUAAGUACUAUAUUGACAUGGUCUGAACUAAGGUAUAUGUGCAAGGUUUUUUUUUGGUAGAAUGGAAGUAAUUAAUUAUAUGUUUAUAAGCUUGAAUAAUGUAUUUUAUGGAUUAUUGUUAAUGGUUUUAAAUAUGUUUUUUUUACUGAUUUUAUGUGGCAUUGAAUUUUUCUGGUUGUUGUAAGCCGCCCUGAGUUCCCUCGGGUGAGAAGGGCGGGGUAGAAAUGUUAUAAAUAAAUAAAUAAAUAAAUAAAUAAAUAAAUAAUAUAGCGGAAUCUCUACUUAAGAGUGUCCCAACUUAAGAAUGUUUUGAGUUGAGAGCUCAGUCAUGAAAUAAAUUAAACUCUUAAGUCAAGUUAUUAAUGUAAUAAUUUUAUUAUUAAUUAAGCAAUAUAUAUAUGUCUCCAUUUUAGGAAAGUAAAACUUGGAGAGUGUUCUACCUACUUGAGAAAUUGCAAGUUAUUUGUGUAAUCUGAGAAACUGAAUUGUGGUUAUCAUUUGCUAUCUUACAACUUACAUUUUCUGUGAUAUUUUUAUAUGUAGAAACUCAAAACCAUUUCAUCUUUUUAAAACUUGGACUGCAUAUUUUUGUUUUUACAUGGUUAGAAUUGCAGAAUGCAGUAUUACAAUCUAUUUCUACCAAAACAAAUUGUUGUCUAUAGAAAUAUGAGGUACUUUUUCAUCAAAAUUCUGUGUUUGUAAGAAAACGGAAUGAAUAGCACUUAAGUGUAGAGACUGGAAUAAACUAAUCUGUGCCAGAAAUGAAUAAACAAUCUGAGGUGUCAGCUGGUUUCAUUUUAUAUUUUUCAAUACAGUAUGAUAAAGUUGUAUUCAUGUAUUCUAAAACAACACUCUUUCUACUUAAUAAAAAGUGUGUGCAUAUGUAUGGAAGGAUGCUUUCCUUAUUUCAUUUCUGUUCCUUUCUGCAAAGCAAAAACAUCUUAGCAAAUGUCAAAGAGAUAAUAAAAGCCGAUUCAUUGUCUAUAUGGGUGUUUGUCAAAUUUACCAAGAAUUUAUGAUUGGUGCUGUUGAAUACAAUAGGAUUACUACUUUGGGUGGGUAUGCAAAACCACAGAUAAUAGCAAGCCCUACAGAAAUGAAGGGAUUCUAGCCCAUUAAGACCAAGGAGAAGAAAUGAAACUGCCGAUUCCAGUUUCACAAACAUGGGAGUCAUUACAGUAGAGUCUCACUUAUCCAACCUUUGCUUAACCAACAUUCUGCAUUAUCCAAUGUAGUCUGCCUUUUAGUGGUCAAUGUUUUAGUAGUCAAUGUUUUCAAUACAUUGCAAUGUUUUGGUGCUAAAGUCAUAAAUACAGUAUGUUACCGUUUAUUGAACUGCUUUUUCUAUCACUUUGUUGCAAAACAUGAUGUUUAAGUUCUUAAUUUGUAAAAUCAUUAUGUAAUUUGAUGUUUAAUAGGCUUUUCCUUAAUCCCUCUUGAUUAUCCAACAUUUUUGCUUGUCCAACGUUCUGCUGGCCCGUUUAUGUUGGAUAAGCGAGACUCUACCUUUUUUUUAAAAGAAAAUUGGGGGCUGCAUGAGAUCUGUAGGUUUUACAUUCCUUGCUCCCAUGUUACAAUAUUUUUGUUGAUUGUAUUAUUCCACCGUUUGUUGUUGAAAGUAUGAAAUACCUAAGUCAGUGGUUCCCCUAGAUGUUGUAUAGAGAUAUUGAUUUUGGUUUAAAAAUUAGUGGACUGCUACACUCAUUUUCCUGUAAUCCAACUCUAGCUAAAGCAUUUGCUUAUGGGAGUACCUCUAUUUUUCAUGCCUUUCUGUAGAUGGGUGUGAUUUACAGAUUUUCCUAUAGAUAAAUUGUAAUUCAGUUGAUAUUCUUUUUUAAAGCCUCAAUCCACAAGAAACAACAACAACAACAACAAUAACAAAAACUUAUUAUUUAGAGCUCUUAACCUAGCUCUGUAUGGAAGCAAAGAAGACAUUUUGUGUAGGAGGAAUAAAAACCAAGAAUUUCCUAGCAAGUGUAAAAAGCAUAAUUAUAAGUGUAGAUUCAUAUAAACAAUGUACUACACAGAUGUUUAGCUAAGAAUGAAUCCAUGGGGGAAAGAAAGGAGUGGAAGAAAUUACAGCAAAUGAGCUCCGGCCAUAUUUUUAUAGAUUCUGACUUUGCACAAAUAGGUAUAACUAUAUAUUUGAGAUACAUUUGGAGGUUCUUGCAAAAUUAAAAGAUAUACUAGCCAAGGUUCUGUAUGCUUCUAGCAUAAUAUGAAUGUACAGCAGUGUGGUCAUGCUAAAUUCUUCAGUUGGACAUCUGAUCAUGCACUGGUUGCCAUGAAUUUGAGAUCAUCCAUUGCACAAUGGUUGAUUAGUUUCUCACUAAGUUAAAAAAUGCAUGAGAGAGAGCUGUGUGUGCAUGUGUUUGUGGAGCAGUUUCCUGCUAGGGAUUACCUUUAGGCAACUUCUAAUCACUGUGUGCCUAUUUCUACAGUAAAAGGGGGGCUCCAAUAUGAUUCCGUCCUAUAUAAAGAUCAUAUUGAAUGCCAAAGUGCUAAUUGUUCAGUCUAGGUACAUAAGAAAUCAGUUUUUCUUUUAAGAUUAAAAAGGCCAAGUUAAUCUACUUUAAAAACA
This is a long non-coding RNA of Anolis carolinensis (green anole), 30967 nucleotides long. RefSeq lists it as uncharacterized. NCBI's taxonomy places the organism in Eukaryota, Metazoa, Chordata, Lepidosauria, Squamata, Anolidae. The record is from RefSeq and is a predicted model, not a curated record. The transcript is spliced from 2 exons.